AUGCAGGGUCUCCCAGGGAGAGAGGGAGGGCCCCCUGGACCCCCCGGCACCCCCGGGGCCCCGGGACAGAUCCUCUACCAGCCGUCAAGUGACGGAGGAGCUAGUUACCCAGGGCGACCAGGAUUCCCGGUACGUGUCGCCAUCUCCGCCAGUCAGAGAACAAUCAGAACAACAAUUUUUUGCAUUUUUACAGCAUGUGAUGUUUUUCACUUCAGGGGCCGAUCGGACCCAAGGGAGACCCCGGACAGCCAGGGAUCCCAGGAGAGGCGGCUAAGGGAAACAAGGGAGAGCCAGGAAUCAUCAGAGAUCGGGACGGGAACGCCAUCUACCUGGGAGGGCUGUCUGGAGCCCCGGGGGUUCCGGGACACCCUGGCCCUGUGGGACCACCAGGUUCGUAUGGUCCUUCUGGUCCAAAGGGGGACAUCGGGUUUCCUGGCAGACCGGUCAGUUGGGUCCUGUUCAUCCUCCUCAUCCUCUUCCUCCUUUGUAUCCGUCUGUUCUGUAAAACCCAGAUAUUCAACAUGUUCAGAGGCUUUAAAGACAACGUGGAUGCGGUUGAUACAGAGAAUAUGUAGAAUUUUUUUAGAAAAUGGCAGAAAUAACCACAGCAUGUCGUUCAUUGGUACUUAUUGUGGACUGGUUAGAGCUGACAGUAUCAUCUGGUUGAGGCAGGCUGGCCCACAGACCUUUGGGGUCUAG
RNAcentral lists this long non-coding RNA (699 nucleotides) under Gadus morhua (Atlantic cod). Its description in RNAcentral is "lncRNA (ENSGMOG00000029643.1)". Lineage: Eukaryota; Metazoa; Chordata; Actinopteri; Gadiformes; Gadidae. The record is from RNAcentral.